CAGCAGCCGCGGUAAUACGAAGGGUGCAAGCGUUACUCGGAAUUACUGGGCGUAAAGCGUGCGUAGGUGGUGGUUUAAGUCCGUUGUGAAAGCCCUGGGCUCAACCUGGGAAUUGCAGUGGAUACUGGGUCACUAGAGUGUGGUAGAGGAUAGUGGAAUUCCCGGUGUAGCGGUGAAAUUCGUAGAUAUUCGGAAGAACACCAGUGGCGAAGGCGACACACUGGCCCGUUACUGACGCUGAUGCGCGAAAGCGUGGGGAGCAAACAGGAUUAGAGACCCCUGUAGUCCCUGUCUCUUAUAC
RNAcentral lists this ribosomal RNA (301 nucleotides) under uncultured bacterium. Its description in RNAcentral is "partial 16S ribosomal RNA". It matches the Rfam family "Bacterial small subunit ribosomal RNA", at positions 509 to 807 of the family's 1533-position model. The record is from RNAcentral.